This is a long non-coding RNA of Ziziphus jujuba (common jujube), 754 nucleotides long. RefSeq lists it as uncharacterized. The record is from RefSeq and is a predicted model, not a curated record. The transcript has 2 exons. NCBI's taxonomy places the organism in Eukaryota, Viridiplantae, Streptophyta, Magnoliopsida, Rosales, Rhamnaceae.
GCAAAAUUAAAAAAAAAAAAAAAAACUAGCCAACUUUUAACACAUCCGGACCAAAAUACCCUUCAUUAUCUUUUUUUUUUUCUUUUUUCUUUACCAAUACGCAGCUGGUUUGUUUUUCUUGUUUUUGGUUUUUUUCUUGACUUUCCCUUUCCCUUUCCUUUUCAAAACACAGUUAGGCUAAGGCUCAUCGCAAGUCAUUUUUAAGCUAGUGUGUUCCCAUUCAAUUCUUCUGCAAGAAUUAUGGGAUUCAUUGGGGUUUUGGUUUUGAAGAAGAUGGGUUUUCGAUUGGGACUAUGUGCUCCAAGAGCUUGGAUUUAGCUCUGCCAAAAAAAAAAAAAAAAAAAAAAAGAAGAAGAUAACACAGAAAAAAAAGGGUCUUUUUACUUACUAGGUUCUUAUAAAGAAAGGAGUAUGCUCAUGAGGUUUUACAACAAAGAACUAAGUAUAUGAGUUAGGUGGUUGAUUCAUGAACAACAUAAUAUCAUUUUUACUUCUUUGUUUUUGUUACUUUCAUUAUGUUUAUAAAUGCAUCUUUUUUCGUAUAUUAGCAUUUUAAAUGUAGAGAUAAUGAUGGAUUUUGAUGUUCAUUUAACGAAGAUAAUUAUGGAUUUUGAUGUAAUGAUAUCUAAUUAACCGUCUACAAAAUGUGGCAUGUUUAUUAGAAUUCCAUUUUCCACAAACCCCUUAUAUGCAAGUCAAUUCAAGCUUCUAGAUAAUUUUUCGCCUGUCGGAAAAUUUUUCCUCCAAGCGGGAA